GAUGAAGAACGUAGCGAAAUGCGAUAAGUAAUGUGAAUUGCAGAAUUCAGUGAAUCAUCGAAUCUUUGAACGCACCUUGCGCCCUUUGGCCAUUCCGAAGGGCAUGCCUGUUUGAGUAUCAUGAGCACCUCAACUCUUUAUGGUUUUCCAUGAUGAGCUUGGACUCUGGGGGUUUUGCUGGCUCACAGUCGGCUCCUCUAAAAUAAAUCAGCUUACCAGUGUUUGGUGGGUAUCAUGGGUGUGAUAACUAUCUACGCUUGUGGUUUUUCCACCAGGUAACCUUCAGCAGUGGAGGUUCGCUGGAGCUCAUAGACGUCUCUCCUCAGUGAGGACAGCCCUUUGAACGUUUGAUCUCAAAUCAGGUAGGACUACCCGCUGAACUUAAGCAUAUCAAUAAGCGGAGGA
This 405-nucleotide unclassified non-coding RNA is filed under the name soil metagenome. Its description in RNAcentral is "partial contains 5.8S ribosomal RNA, internal transcribed spacer 2, and large subunit ribosomal RNA". The stretch from base 1 to 121 matches the Rfam family "5.8S ribosomal RNA", at positions 35 to 154 of the family's 154-position model. The record is from RNAcentral.